UCGAGAAUCUUCGGCAAUGGGCGAAAGCCUGACCGAGCGACGCCGCGUGCGGGAUGAAGGCCCUCGGGUUGUAAACCGCUGUCAGAGGGGAGGAAAUUCCAGGGAGUUCUCUCUUUGGUUUGACCUAUCCUCAGAGGAAGUACGGGCUAAGUUCGUGCCAGCAGCCGCGGUAAGACGAACCGUACGAACGUUAUUCGGAAUCACUGGGCUUAAAGGGUGCGUAGGCGGUCCUGUAAGUUGGGUGUGAAAGCCCUCGGCUUAACCGGGGAAUUGCGCCCAAAACUGUGGGACUUGAGGGAGACAGAGGUGAGCGGAACUUAGGGUGGAGCAGUGAAAUGCGUUGAUAUCCUAAGGAACACCAGUGGCGAAAGCGGCUCACUGGGUCUCUUCUGACGCUGAGGCACGAAAGCUAGGGGAGCGAACGG
RNAcentral lists this ribosomal RNA (425 nucleotides) under uncultured bacterium. RNAcentral's name for it is "bacterial SSU rRNA". It matches the Rfam family "Bacterial small subunit ribosomal RNA", at positions 355 to 775 of the family's 1533-position model. The record is from RNAcentral.